This 2821-nucleotide long non-coding RNA is filed under the name Mus musculus (house mouse). RNAcentral's name for it is "long non-coding RNA chr10:3964474-3967295". The record is from RNAcentral. Lineage: Eukaryota; Metazoa; Chordata; Mammalia; Rodentia; Muridae.
GCUCCCUAGGCUUACAAAUUACCAUACGAAUGAGGUUGUUUUUUCUGUAUUUUCUUUCAGUAUAUGCACUGGUUUAAAACAAUUUUGUAAUAACAAAAGGGUAAAAUGUGCUUUCGCUUAUAGCACAACUCUUUGAGCUGGCCCACCAUGACAUUUACCGCCCCGACCCCCAUGUCCUAACAGUGGUACCCACUCAUAGAAUACCUUCUCUCCACAUCCCAAGGAGUUUUAUACUGUGACUCAGAGGCACCACAAGUGAAUCUCUCUCUCACGGUUUUUUAAAAAAAGAGACUAGAGUUAUUUAAAGAGUCAUGCUUAUAUGUGGCAUCUCUAUAUUUGACAAGACUCAAGAAUGAUGCAUGCCAGAGACCACUGGUUAGACUGUAGCCUUGUCACGUAUUUUAAGGACACCAUGCUGGUGUCCUGAUCACAUUUCCUUUAGAUGCCAACAUACUGUGACUAUUGAAGAGGUUAAAAUGUAGCCCUAGCACCAACUUGCUAUUGGGAAAAACAAAAUGUUUUUACUUGUGUUCCAGGACAAGGCCCAGAUGGUGUGCCACUAUUUAUGAUAAGUCUACAGUUUCCGGGGUAAAAUAUAAACUAUUUCUUUCAUGUCAUAAAGAAAGCCAAUCUUAAUAAAAUACAAGCCAAGUUGAUUAUUAGAUAAGAUAGGGAGACUUCUGAAAACACCCUAUUUCUUCAUAUUACAAGUAAAGGGGAAUUGCCUCUGUAAAGACAACAACAGGAGAAGACAUGACUGUAGACACCUGCCUCCUAUCAGUACAGGGUAAAUCUUCAGGUAAAAUAAGACAAAAUGCAUUUAAAUGCCCCUGUCAAGAGCAGUUCUUCAUUGGCACUUUCCUGGGCUUGAGGUUCAACUGAAUGCCCACUUGAGAAGUCCUGGCCACAGUAUUGGGCAAGAGUGUAUUUUCUAAACAGCUAAUAACCCAGGGCCUUUCGAUGUUUUGGAAUAUACAGAACGGAGACUCUGGUUGCUGGAUUCCGACUAGUAACUUCCCUUACCCUGUACUUACAGUCUCGUACAGCACCUCACUGUGAUGCCACACCUGUCUAACUCCUUGUAGACAGGAAUGGAAGAUGAAAAGCAAGGCACUGUGAUUCAAAGGAAAACGAGAGAAACGUAAAAGCGUCUUCCUGAAGGCCCCGUGCGUACAGUCAGAAUAGGCUCUCUAUUUCUGUUCCCAUUUCUACACAUUCGGGACUCCUCCUUCACUCCUUCACCCUCUCAGUCUCAGUUUUAACGUUUCUUUUUAUUAGAAUUAGGCAACCUGCUCCAUUUCAAGAAGAUAUGAUGAUAAACACACUACUGAGUGUUGUUGAGUGUCCAGAGUGUGUUUCAUCGCUUUGCACAUCUUUGGCUACAGAGCUCAGUCCUACUUUGUGUUGUUCAAGUGUCUAAUCUUGGGAUUAGACUGGUGAGAUUAUCUUUCCUGAUUUUGCUAAGAGAUUUCUUCAGAACUCAUAACUUGUGAGGAGAGCCUGUAAAUUGGAACCUAAUUCUAGAAUAGCUUGUCCUUUUCCCACAUCAUCUGAAAGAACAUCACUGUGCACAUAACUCUUGGUUCCAGGUUAAAAGUAGUCUCUGAGCUAGUACAAGUAUUAAGACUUAGGUGACCGACUUCUUCUGGAUGGGUUUCAAUGCCACUCAACCUCUGAAAAGAAUCCCAUAACAGAUUUUUAUGUGUAGAAGGCUCACUGCAAGAAGCAUGUGAGUAAUUGGAACACAGUCCUCUUUAUUUCUACCCAUCGCAUCUACUCCACUGCCCACAACAGGGGAGAAUGCCUCCAUUUGUCUAGUUUCUGAAAGCCUGGUGGUUGCACAUUCUAAAUCUUGCUUACAAAUCAUUUUCUUAUUUACCAAGUCUGACACAUCUUCUGUUGGGGGUUCACUGGUCUGACUUAUUACCAGAUGUUUCUGAAGUGCACCUUGAAGCUGAUCCGGAACAGCUUUCUCUUCAGGCAAAUAAGACCAAUCAAAAUCUGGGCAAAAAAAUAGCCAGGCUAAAUUCCCUCUGAUUCUGCAGUAUCGAUGAAGACUCUGACGACACUUCUCAAGCUUUCACAUCCACUAGAGCCCCAUCUGAACUUCUGUUCUCUUCAGUUUCGACAGCUUUUCUCCAUGAGCUCCUGCUCUCAGUUAUCAAGGUUUCUGGAGUCUGGAGAAUUUGUUUCCUGGUUAAGAAGGGAUAGAAAUUAAAGUGUCAACUAGCUCCUCCAAUUCGACUUCUUUUCCCUCCUGAUUUUUUUUUCCUUUUUAGUCUCUAUGGCCCACAUCCCAGUACAGUUCAUGUUACUGUCCUGUUUGAGUCUCAGAAAUGAGUAAUUCUUCACACCAGUGUUUCAUUGCAUGGUUUGGUGUCACCUGCAAAGGGGAAUGUCACAUUGUACAAAACGUCUUAUGUAAGUGGUCCUUUAGGCUCUAGGAUAAAGCUGUAGUUUUAUUGAUCAUGUCUGUGGACCAGGCUGCAGACUUUGAGAGCCUGUGUGUGUGUGUGUGUGAGUGUGUGCUUAGAUGUUCCCUCAAUGUUAUCAGUUCAAUGCUUUUGUUUAAAAUAGUUUCUUCUGAAGGUGGGGGUGGGGAUGUACAUAACUGGGAACGUUUUAUGUACUUAAAUGUUCUUACUGGGUUCCUGUACUGAAGGGUCCAAUUUUUCUUUUUUAUAUAAGUUCACUUUUCACCUACUUUUUGUCUUCAUGGGGGGGGGGGAAAGUUGUGCAUCUUGGAAAACAUACUUUAAAUACUGUAUAUAAGACAAUGAAACUUAGUAAUACCCAUUAUUUAAUAAAGUUUGUAAAGUGG